AGCGAACGCUGGCGGCAGGCUUAACACAUGCAAGUCGAGCGCCCCGCAAGGGGAGCGGCAGACGGGUGAGUAACACGUGGGAACGUACCCUUUGGUUCGGAACAACCCAGGGAAACUUGGGCUAAUACCGGAUAAGUCCGCGAGGAGAAAGAUUUAUCGCCGAAGGAUCGGCCCGUGUCUGAUUAGCUAGUUGGUGUGGUAACGGCGCACCAAGGCGACGAUCAGUAGCUGGUCUGAGAGGAUGAUCAGCCACACUGGGACUGAGACACGGCCCAGACUCCUACGGGAGGCAGCAGUGGGGAAUAUUGGACAAUGGGGGCAACCCUGAUCCAGCCAUGCCGCGUGAGUGAUGAAGGCCCUAGGGUUGUAAAGCUCUUUCGGUGGGGAAGAUAAUGACGGUACCCACAGAAGAAGCCCCGGCUAACUUCGUG
This 431-nucleotide ribosomal RNA is filed under the name uncultured bacterium. RNAcentral's name for it is "partial 16S ribosomal RNA". It matches the Rfam family "Bacterial small subunit ribosomal RNA", at positions 29 to 507 of the family's 1533-position model. The record is from RNAcentral.